CCAAUAGCGUAUAUUAAAGUUGUUGCAGUUAAAAAGCUCGUAGUUGAAUUUCGGGGUUAGUAGGUUGGUCAUGCCUCCGGUAUGUACUGGCCUCACUGAUUCCUCCUUCCUGAUGAACCGUAAUGCCAUUAAUUUGGUGUUGCGGGGAAUUUGGACUGUUACUUUGAAAAAAUUAGAGUGUUUAAAGCAAGCUAACGCUUGAAUACAUUAGCAUGGAAUAAUGAAAUAGGACGUUCGAUCCUAUUUUGUUGGUUUCUAGGAUUGACGUAAUGAUUAAUAGGGAUAGUUGGGGGCAUUAGUAUUCAAUUGUCAGAGGUGAAAUUCUUGGAUUUAUUGAAGACUAACUACUGCGAAAGCAUUUGCCAAGGAUGUUUUCAUUAAUCAAGAACGAAAGUUAGGGGAUCGAAGACGAUCAGAUACCGUCGUAGUCUUAACCAUAAACUAUGCCGACUAGGGAUCGGAUGAUGUUAAUUUUUUAAUGACUCAUUCGGCACCUUACG
This 500-nucleotide ribosomal RNA is filed under the name uncultured Glomeromycotina. RNAcentral's name for it is "partial small subunit ribosomal RNA". It matches the Rfam family "Eukaryotic small subunit ribosomal RNA", at positions 591 to 1092 of the family's 1831-position model. The record is from RNAcentral. Lineage: Eukaryota; Fungi; Glomeromycota.